UACAGAGGUGGCAAGCGUUGUUCGGAAUUACUGGGCGUAAAGGGCGCGUAGGUGGCCUUCUUAGUCAGACGUGAAAUCCCCAGGCUUAACCUGGGAACUGCGUCUGAUACUGGAAGGCUCGAGUUCGGGAGAGGAAUGUGGAAUUCCAGGUGUAGCGGUGAAAUGCGUAGAUAUCUGGAGGAACACCCGUGGCGAAGGCGGCUUCCUGGUCAUAUCCUGACGCUGAGGCGCGAAAGCUAGGGGAGCGAACGGG
Molecule: ribosomal RNA, 253 nt
Filed under: uncultured bacterium
Lineage: Bacteria
Description: partial 16S ribosomal RNA
Rfam family: Bacterial small subunit ribosomal RNA
Source: RNAcentral